CGGAGCUUCUGGAGAUCACACCAGGGAUUUGCGCUCGGUUGAAACUGACGAAACCACCACUCCACCCCUGCAACAACACGAAAACUUCUUAAUGAGGGAAUCCACCGCCGCUAAGGAACAAGACCAGAGGACUCGUCACCGUCGCCAAGGACCCACCAGGACUCACCGCCGCCGCCAACGGACCAAACUGAUAUCCAAUGGCCUAGAAGAGGAAACGAAAAAUAUGAGCAAAUAAAAUUGCCAUUGUAGUUAUUGAACAUAAAAUGUACCUAUUAAAUUAAAUGACAAUGUAUUGUUGUACAAAUAAAUUGUUUAUUAUUUAAAUGUGUUUUAGUUAAAUGUGUUUUAAUUUGCCUAGUGAAAAUUACAAAGGGAAUGAACUAAAAUUUAUAAAAAUAAUAAUUAGUAAAGUGUUUUUAUACAAGGUGUGUGCUAAAAAUAAGUUAAGUGUAGUGUUGAAACGUGUUAAUUACAAAAUGUAAGGUAGGUACGUGAAGAAGGGAUGUAAAGACCUGGUGAAAGUUACAUAGUGAAUUGACUGAAAUUCAAAAAUUAAUAAUUACUAAUCUAAUGUAUUGUAAGACAAUUAAAAACUUCUUCAGUUAAAUUUUGAAAUCUUUGUAAUUCUUUUAUGUGUAAACAGGGUGAGUGAAAUGUGUGGCAAGAUUGGGGUGUGUACGUGAGAGGAAGGAAUGUGUGGGUGGUUUGGGUAGGUACGUGAAGAAGGGAUGUAAAUACCUGAUGAAAGUUACAAAGUGAAUUGACUGAAAUUCAAAAAUUAAUAAUUACUAAUUUAAUGUAUUGUAAUACAAUUAAAAACUUCUUCAGUUAAAUUUUGAAAUCUUUGUAAUUCUUUUAUGUGUAAAUAGGGUGAGUGAAAUGUGUGGCACGAUUGGGGUGUGUACGUAAGGAAGAAACGUGUGGGUGGUUUGGGUAAGUACGUAAAGAAGGGAUGUAAAUACCUGAUGAAAGUUACAAUGUGAAUUGACUGAAAUUCAAAAAUUAAUAAUUACUAAUUUAAUGUAUUGUAAUACAAUUAAAAACUUCUUCAGUUAAAUUUUGAAAUCUUUGUAAUUCUUUUAUGUGUAAAUAGGGUGAGUGAAAUGUGUGGCACGAUUGGGGUGUGUACGUAAGGAAGAAACGUGUGGGUGGUUUGGGUAAGUACGUAAAGAAGGGAUGUAAAUACCUGAUGAAAGUUACAAUGUGAAUUGACUGAAAUUCAAAAAUUAAUAAUUACUAAUUUAAUGUAUUGUAAUACAAUUAAAAACUUCUUCAGUUAAAUUUUGAAAUCUUUGUAAUUCUUUUAUGUGUAAAUAGGGUGAGUGAAAUGUGUGGCACGAUUGGGGUGUGUACGUAAGGAAGAAACGUGUGGGUGGUUUGGGUAAGUACGUAAAGAAGGGAUGUAAAUACCUGAUGAAAGUUACAAUGUGAAUUGACUGAAAUUCAAAAAUUAAUAAUUACUAAUUUAAUGUAUUGUAAUACAAUUAAAAACUUCUUCAGUUAAAUUUUGAAAUCUUUGUAAUUCUUUUAUGUGUAAAUAGGGUGAGUGAAAUGUGUGGCACGAUUGGGGUGUGUACGUAAGGAAGAAACGUGUGGGUGGUUUGGGUAAGUACGUAAAGAAGGGAUGUAAAUACCUGAUGAAAGUUACAAUGUGAAUUGACUGAAAUUCAAAAAUUAAUAAUUACUAAUUUAAUGUAUUGUAAUACAAUUAAAAACUUCUUCAGUUAAAUUUUGAAAUCUUUGUAAUUCUUUUAUGUGUAAAUAGGGUGAGUGAAAUGUGUGGCACGAUUGGGGUGUGUACGUAAGGAAGAAACGUGUGGGUGGUUUGGGUAAGUACGUAAAGAAGGGAUGUAAAUACCUGAUGAAAGUUACAAUGUGAAUUGACUGAAAUUCAAAAAUUAAUAAUUACUAAUUUAAUGUAUUGUAAUACAAUUAAAAACUUCUUCAGUUAAAUUUUGAAAUCUUUGUAAUUCUUUUAUGUGUAAAUAGGGUGAGUGAAAUGUGUGGCACGAUUGGGGUGUGUACGUAAGGAAGAAACGUGUGGGUGGUUUGGGUAAGUACGUAAAGAAGGGAUGUAAAUACCUGAUGAAAGUUACAAUGUGAAUUGACUGAAAUUCAAAAAUUAAUAAUUACUAAUUUAAUGUAUUGUAAUACAAUUAAAAACUUCUUCAGUUAAAUUUUGAAAUCUUUGUAAUUCUUUUAUGUGUAAAUAGGGUGAGUGAAAUGUGUGGCACGAUUGGGGUGUGUACGUAAGGAAGAAACGUGUGGGUGGUUUGGGUAAGUACGUAAAGAAGGGAUGUAAAUACCUGAUGAAAGUUACAAUGUGAAUUGACUGAAAUUCAAAAAUUAAUAAUUACUAAUUUAAUGUAUUGUAAUACAAUUAAAAACUUCUUCAGUUAAAUUUUGAAAUCUUUGUAAUUCUUUUAUGUGUAAAUAGGGUGAGUGAAAUGUGUGGCACGAUUGGGGUGUGUACGUAAGGAAGAAACGUGUGGGUGGUUUGGGUAAGUACGUAAAGAAGGGAUGUAAAUACCUGAUGAAAGUUACAAUGUGAAUUGACUGAAAUUCAAAAAUUAAUAAUUACUAAUUUAAUGUAUUGUAAUACAAUUAAAAACUUCUUCAGUUAAAUGUUGUAAUCUUUGUAAUUCUUUUAUGUAUAAACAGGGUGAGUGAAAUGUGUAGCACGAUUGGGGUGAGUACGUGACAAAGGAACGUGUGGGUGGUUUGGGUAAGUACGUGAAGAAGGGAUGUGAAUACCUGGUGAAAGUUACAAAGUGAAUUGACUGAAAUUCAAAAAUUAAUAAUUACUAAUUUAAUGUAUUGUAAUACAAGGUGUAUGUGCUAAUAAAUUGUACAGUGUUGAAACGUGUUAAUUACAAUGUGUGUUGUCUUGUGUCUAAAAUACGAAAUUCUGUGUUGUGUGAUAUUAAUUGAAAUUAAUUAAAAAUUGAAAACAAAAUUAAUUGACAGAAUUGAUAGUUCGGCAUGGGAUUCUGCAAACGAAUCGAUAGAUUUUUCAACUAUAACCCCUGUUAAGCCAGCAAAACAUAACAAAAAAUACCAAAACUCCUUCAACAAUUGUUCACUCUUUAGAUGCAUAAAAAGUGAACACAAAAAAGGUUAAAGUUACUAAGAAUAAAACGAUAAUAACAAAGCACCAUUCAGAGUGAAUUAUCGUUGACGAAAUCAGUUAAAAAAACCAUAAAAAG
Molecule: long non-coding RNA, 3206 nt
Filed under: Agrilus planipennis (emerald ash borer)
Lineage: Eukaryota; Metazoa; Arthropoda; Insecta; Coleoptera; Buprestidae
Description: uncharacterized LOC112904272
Source: RNAcentral